Molecule: long non-coding RNA, 599 nt
Organism: Rhagoletis zephyria (snowberry fruit fly)
Lineage: Eukaryota; Metazoa; Arthropoda; Insecta; Diptera; Tephritidae
Source: RefSeq, a predicted model, not a curated record
GCCAACAAUAUCUACAAUAAAUAGAAAAAAUAAAACAAAAAUACAAGAAUGGUGUUGAAACAUGGGCACUAGGCGGCGGCGAUACGAGUUCACUCGCACUGUGGCUGGCGCGGAGUUUGUGUGUCAUGUGAGCUGAGCAUAGAUUUCGUCACGAGUCAUAUCAGUAGCACGAUACGGCCGCGCUCACUUGGUUGGGUAUCGGUGGUGGUGGCCAGCAACUUUGCUCUUAAUCGCGUUCCAUUUCUGUAUCUACGCGGUAGCACAUUUUCGAUUUCUCAAUGAAACGGUUGGCGACAACAAUUUAGUGCAGCUACGCGAUUUGUGAAUGUGUCUCCGAAAAUCGAGUAUAAGCUAUCAUAAAAGUGAUUAAAAGUUGUAAUUUUACCUGUGCAAAUGAAAUUGAUAUCUCACACAAUUUUUUUACUUGUGAAAAAAGUUGAAAGUGCGAAAAUACACUCAGUCACAGCAACUGCCUCAAUUCAAGGCUAAUACGGAUACACAAAUGUGCAUUGCAGUGUAUUUGCUUCAACGUUUGCGGAAUGCAAAUAUGGAAAAAAUCAACAAUUCUUUUCCUACAUUCUAAUCGUCUAAAAUAAAGG